AAUAAUCGCCCCGUUUUUUGAAAUGGGUUCUAUUCCCAAACCGUGUAUACAUUACCUUUGUUGCUUUGGCAGGCCGCCUCUUGGGGCGUCGGCUUCGGCUGACUGCGCCUGCCAGAGGACCCAAACUCGUUUGUUUAGUGAUGUCUGAGUACUAUAUAAUAGUUA
Molecule: unclassified non-coding RNA, 165 nt
Filed under: uncultured Meliniomyces
Lineage: Eukaryota; Fungi; Ascomycota; Leotiomycetes; Helotiales; Helotiaceae
Description: sequence contains ITS1
Source: RNAcentral